GUAUGUGUUUGUGUGCCCUGCGAUGGAUUGGCACCCUGUCCAGGGUGUACCCCGCCUUGUGCCCGAUGCUCCCUGGGAUAGGCUCCAGGUUCCCUGUGACCCUGAAAAGGAGUAAGCGGUAUAGAAGAUGGAUGGAUGGAUUUAUACUGCUCUAUAGGUUGUGGGUGUAGAGAAAACAGCUGUCAGUAAAGCUGCAGUAAGUAAUAUGUUUAUACUAUUCUAUAGGCUGUAGGUGGACAGAAAUGAGCUGUUAUUAAAGCUGAGAAUUAUUUAUUUUAUUUUUUUUGAGAAUUAUUAUUUUAAACUGCUCUAUUGGCAGCUGCAAGGUGAACAGAAUCAUGUUUAAAGGUAUCAUAAGUAAUUUAUUUAUACUGCUUUAUUUGCUGUAAGCAUAAAGAAAGGAGGCAUCAUUAAAGGUGCAAUAAGUAAUAUACUUUUACUGCUCUAUUGGCUGUUGGUGAGGUGAACGAAGCCAUCAAUAAAUGUGCCAUAAGCAUUAUAUUUAUAUUGCUUUAUUGUUUCUGAGUGGAGAGAGAUGAACCAUUAUUAAAGGUAUGAUAAGUAAAAUGUUUAAACCGCUCUAUAUAAUAAUUUAUUUGAGUUGUGAUAAUUAAUAUAGUUAUACUGCAUUGUACUGCCCUUAAAUGUUGAGUUUCUUCAAUAUGGCAUACACUUGCUGUGGUUAAAGUUGUUGCUAGGCAACUGGGAAACGUAAACGGUAACAAUAAGCUAGCCGAUGCCUGAGGCUAUCCAAUAAAAAAAGCUGACGGGAACGUUAGCAUUUUCCUCCUUAAUUACACAUGUCUGCUGACUGAACAUCUAUGGGUUACAUUUAUGAGAAGUGUUAUGAAAUGUUAUAGGGGGGAAAAAAGAGAUCAUAAGCAACAUCAUAAUCAUUGGCCACUAGGGGGCACUAUAUAUUUUUUCAAAAAUUAAACUUAAAAUGUUUUCUUCCCAGGACAAAAAACCCCACUUCCUGUACAGAAACAUCAACAUCAGCAUUACGUCACAACUUUGAAACUGUGUGCAAACUCCAAGGCUGAGUGUGGAUAAGUUUGACGUGAAUGAAGGUGACAUCGUGAGGAUCAUCUGUAGUGCGAAAGAAGAAUCCGGUUUGCUGCACUUCAUCAUUAAAGACGACUUGAAUGAAAUCUACCAAGAAGAAACCACCAGUGGUGAGGUGCAGAAGAAUCACUCCCUCAGGUCUGUAGGGAUGGCCAAGAUCUCCUGCUCAUAUUUAAUUAAAGUAGGAAGCACAACUAUUUCUUCAAAUGACAGCAACGUGGUCAGUGUGGUUGUGAAAGACCUGGACAUCAUGCCAACUAUCACAGUCCUCCCGUCCACGCAAGUUAUCGAGGGAGACCCUGUGCACAUCACAUGUGGUGUGAAAGGAACAUCCCAUAACUCAACUUCGCUCAUGCUAUCGAAAGGAUCGUAUAUCCUCCAGAGAGGAAAAACCCCUGAAUUCAUAGCUGCUGUCCUGGCAAACAAUUCCGGGACAUACGAGUGCAGUGUCCUGCUGAAGAACGUAGAUAAAACUGUUAAAGCAAAUCUUACUGUCAAAGAGCUCUUUUCCACACCGGUGCUGACCAUCACGCCGACGGAGGUGUUCGAGAGGCAGCAGUUUAACGUCACCUGCACAAGCUCUGAAUUUGCAUCAGAGAGAAUCGGACGUCAUGAUGUGAAGUACUCUAUCUACAGGAACAACCAGAGACUUAACUCAUCCGAUGGCGCAUACAGAACCACGGCACACACUAAGACCAAUGGAAAUUACACGUGUACUGCUCAAGUGAAUGACACCAUCAAAUGGAGCAAUUCCAAGUUCUUCAAAGCAAAAGUUCUCGUCUCCAAACCCACCAUCACUGUGCUUGGUGAGGUGGUCCUGGGUCGAUCAUUUCAGAUCGAGUGUUACUCAGACACCGGGAGUUUCCCCAUCACUUACUCACUGAACCGGAACCACAGAACACUAAACUACAUCGAGGUAUCAACGGCAUUUCAGAAAGCCAUCUUCAACGCCAGCAUAAUGUCUGAAAACGAAAUCCACGAGUUCAGAUGUGAGGCACAGAACAACGGCAUCAAUCCAGCUUUGACAAGCAACGCUCUUCUUGCUCCAGUAACAGUUCCUGUAGGGAAGCCGACCCUGAUGACCAUCCCCAAGGGUGAUGCCAUCAUCGAAAAUGAGUACGUUGAAUUCCUGUGCUUUGUUACGGAAGGAACUCCACCCAUCAGCUUUAAAUGGUACCAAGGCGAGGACCGCCGUCCUGUGCACACCAUUACAGUGAUGAAAAACCACUCCACGUACAAUGUUCCCGUGGUGAAGAGCGUCCACAGCGGCAGGUAUUACUGCGAAGCCAUAAACGGAGCGGGAAUAGAGGAAGCAAGCAAAGACAUCAUGGUCACAGUGAGGAUAGCCAGGUGGAAGCAAGGCCUGAUCUCUGGCGUGUGUCUGCUGUGUGUGACCGGGCUCGUAAUCGCCUUCGUGAUACGCUACAGGGCUAACCGAGUUAAAGUAGCCAGCAGCAAUGGAGCAGGAAUCUGGACCGUGAGGCCGCCAGUUUUAGAUAUCAGUGAAGUAGUGGACGUAGACGAACCUGAGGAGCCUAACGUGGAGUACACGGAAGUGCUGCAUCCGCAAACUACUGACCCCGCACGAGGUAAACCACAUUUUUUAUUUAUUAAGAAUUCUGCCAAGGAAGGUCAAAAUUAUUUGACAUAUGCAUUAGCUAUGAAGCAGAAAGUUUUUGUCAUCCAAAUCUCACCAACAAAUUCGAAAGUCAAACACACAACAUGGAAAAACUACUUAAAUGUGAAAGAACAUCGGAACAUCACUGUCAGAAUUAUUCUUAUUCUUAUUAUUGUUCCUGAUUUAGUAAACUGGAUAUGAACAGAUGUACUCAUAAAUCUUUUUUACAGGAGCUGUUACACAAGAAAUUUGUGAAAAAUCCAGUUAGAUCAGAAAAACGUUUGUGUCCUACAGUUCACUCUUAAGUUGCAAAUUGUCUUUUAUGUACAGACCACACUGGCAGGUUUACACACCAAUUUAAUGAACGUUUUGUCAAAAUCAAGUCUCUUCAUUUUAAUGACUUGAAAGAAAGCGAUUCCGAAACAAAUCUGUAAGUUAAGACAAAUUAAACUAGCUGUUCAAUUAGGGUAGAAGUAACGGCACUCUAUAAAAGGAUGACGAGUUUUUGGUUAGAACGUUUCUGAGGUGCUUUUUCACCUUUUAGUUGCCAUUUUGUCAUUUUCAGCUCACUGUGAGCUUUGCCUUUUAUGGAAAUUUGUGGGCGUGGCUAAAUAUAAAUCGGCUGUGCUUUGAACACUGAUUGGCAUUCAUCAAAAUACCCAUGUGAGUACGAAGAAAAUCAAAAUUUUGUAAGUAAAAAUACUAAAAGAUUGAUACAUGAUGUCCAUUAUACUAUGCAGUGCAUUUAGGUGUAAUUACAUAAUAACGUAUAGCUGCUGAUGUUCUCUUAGCAGCAUUAAUAGCAGUGUAUCUCUUGUCUGAUUUAUUGCAGUUGCCGGGAGUUUUAAUCUUAUAAUAUUCUAAACUUUGUUCAAAAUGUUUGUGUUUCUUUCAGUAGUGUUAUUAAAAAUGAGUUGCUCAUCAUUGUGAUGAUGAAAUGAAUUCUCUUGGUGUCAUUGGUUUUUCAGUUCAAGCCAGAAGCAUUUUGUUACUGAGUGGAACUAUUUUUUCCAGCUGUGAGGAAAAUUCCCAAAACCAGCUCGAGUGCCGUUCCCACUCACAUCUUUUUUUUUCUCUUCUCCAUUCUUCAUUACUACCCACCAUCUUUCCUCUCUGUCUAGUUUUCAUGUACUUCAGAUGAAAUACAGAUAUUUGCCUCCUUCUCUUUCUCUAAACCCUUUGAACGUUUAGUCGUCCCGCUCUCGAUCUCUGAUAAGACUAAAUCCGCUUCCUGCGAGGUCCUGGAUGCUCUUAUACUCUCAUUUUAAAAAGGGUUUGGUCUUUUUUUUUUAUAAUAGUGCCAUCUUUCAUUGUAUAAACAGGAAGGGCUGAGCUAAUUACCUCAGAAGAUUCCUCAUUCCCUAAGUGCCUGCUGUUAGUUUUCAUAUGCUACACAGUGAGCAAUUUAUCGCAGCGGCUUUCAUCUGGGAAAUCUGACCAGUUUUUACAAGUUAUGUUUCGAUGUUUUGAGAUUACAGGCCCAUUUCUUUCUGUAUGUUUAACUCAGUCAUCACCCAGCGAUGCAUCAUACAGACAUUUUAUUUUUAUGCUCCAAAAAUCUAAAAACCUCUCCAGGUUUCGGCAGCAAAAAAACUCCAGAACAUUUUCCAGGUAUCAUUUAUUUCUGUCAUUUGUUAGCCAUUUAUAUAUUGGAAAUUAAGGUUAAAAACUAUAAUUAAGUAAUUAUGUACUUAAAUGUUUUAAUAAUUGUUGUAACACUGUUUGUUCUAUUACUUCAGACAAAAUAUAUGAUAUCAUUGCAUUUUCUUUUUUCUUGUUUUGUUUCUGUUAUGUUUUAUAUUUUUGCACACAAGCAUGCUCCAAAAAGCUAAAACUGUUUUAGCAGUUUUAUAAAAGCAGCAUGAAAUGUCAACAUCUAUUCCUUUUAGUGAUGAUUAUAUUCUUCAAAGACAAAAGAGAUCAUUAAAUAUUAUAAUAUAAUAAUAAUUAUUCUCUCUCUUUUUCUCUCUCUCUCUCUCUCUCGAUCCAUCCAUCCAUAUCUCUUUUUUCAGUUCCAUUGAGGCAAGGCACAGAUACGGUAUACAGUGAGGUUCAGAGGCCUACAUCAGGGUCGUCUGAAGAAUACUGAAUUGAGUCACUGGAGAGAAUGAGCUAUUUAUCUCACCAUAAAUAUCUCAAUAGUGUGAACACUAGAACACACUAUUUCCUUCCUGUUCCCCUCUGUACUACAAAACCUCAUGUUGCAAAGAUACUGGAUGCUGGAUGUUACACUUUUAUUUCUUUGCUUAAAGGUGCAGGUACUAGAAUUGUGUUCACAUGCUGUUGUUGAUGUUGUUUUAUUUGCAAUUUCAUUAUUAAAACUGAAGGAAACCUC
Molecule: RNA transcript, 5018 nt
Organism: Ictalurus furcatus (blue catfish)
Lineage: Eukaryota; Metazoa; Chordata; Actinopteri; Siluriformes; Ictaluridae
Gene: pecam1b
Gene name: platelet and endothelial cell adhesion molecule 1b
Exons: 10
Source: RefSeq, a predicted model, not a curated record